AUUUAAUGUAAAAUAUAUAACGUAAUCUUCAAUUUGCAUGCUCAGAUUAAAAAAAUAUUGUUCAUUGGCUUCACGAUUCGACUUUCUUUUUCGCCUUGCAAAAGUAGUUGAACCGGUUUUGUGCAUUGUUAUAAAUUGAACCUGCAUUAAUUUCACGACAUGACACAGUGAAAUAUCUAAUGAAGUGACCACUGUCCAGUAAGAAAAUCAUUUGAGCUCUUUUAAACCUGUAUAAUGUCAUUGCAAAAUCAUUUCUGCCUAGAAAAACACGAAACUUUCAUUGAAACACUUCUUUCUUUUUUUUUAUCAGGACCUGAACUAAUAGUAAGAACAUCAUAAUAUUCAGUAUGCUAAAAAGAAGUGUUAUGAAAGCGGCAGGGGCGGGUCCAGCCAUUUUAAAAAGGGGGUCCUAACCCUGGACAAAAGGGGAGGGGUUCCAACUACAUGUCCCCAUCCAAAUGCACUAAUCGUCCAAAAAAAGGGGGUCCAUCCCCCGGAACCCCCGCCCCCUGGAUCCGCCACUGAGCGGGUACGGUAUAUAACUCAAUACAUUUUUUAUAGUUUAAAUUCAUCCAUCGAUAAUAUCCGUUUGUUGCUAAUUUUAUCACAAAAUAUACCUCAGAGGUUUUUUUUAUCGUUCGGCUGCUGUCCUGUUGACAUAUGUAAAAUAUCUCCAAUAUUAAAAGUCUCUGGAUCAUAGUGGGUGCCAUAUUACCUACUAGUAUUAUUUUUUUUCUAAAACGUGCUUUGUAUAUAGAAAUAAGAAGAUGAGGUAUGAGUGCCAAAUGAAACAUCUUUCCAACAAAGACAUAAUUUAGUAAAGUAAGCAGUCAAAUGCUGAAAAGUAAGCUAUAAAUGACCCAAAAAUUAUUUGUGUAAAACAAUCCAAACAAAAAAAAAAAACCAAAAAAAAAACCGGCCCAAUUAAAUAUAUAAAAGAACAAGAAAGCUAUCCCAUCAAAAAAAA
RNAcentral lists this long non-coding RNA (967 nucleotides) under Mytilus galloprovincialis (Mediterranean mussel). Lineage: Eukaryota; Metazoa; Mollusca; Bivalvia; Mytilida; Mytilidae. The record is from RNAcentral.